This 406-nucleotide ribosomal RNA is filed under the name uncultured bacterium. RNAcentral's name for it is "partial 16S ribosomal RNA". It matches the Rfam family "Bacterial small subunit ribosomal RNA", at positions 30 to 526 of the family's 1533-position model. The record is from RNAcentral.
AUUGAACGCUGGCGGCAGGCCUAACACAUGCAAGUCGAGCGAGCGGCGGACGGGUGAGUAAUGUAUGGGGAUCUGCCCGAUAGAGGGGGAUAACUACUGGAAAAGGUGGCUAAUACCGCAUAAACUCGGAUGCACCCAUAUGGGAUUAGCUAGUAGGUGGGGUAAAGGCUCACCUAGGCGACGAUCUCUAGCUGGUCUGAGAGGAUGAUCAGCCACACUGGGACUGAGACACGGCCCAGACUCCUACGGGAGGCAGCAGUGGGGAAUAUUGCACAAUGGGCGCAACCCUGACGCAGCCAUGCCGCGUGAAUGAAGAAGGCCUUCGGGUUGUAAAGUUCUUUCGGUAGCGAGGCGUUAACUACAGAAGAAGCACCGGCUAACUCCGUGCCAGCAGCCGCGGUAAUAC